This 253-nucleotide ribosomal RNA is filed under the name uncultured bacterium. RNAcentral's name for it is "partial 16S ribosomal RNA". It matches the Rfam family "Bacterial small subunit ribosomal RNA", at positions 1247 to 1500 of the family's 1533-position model. The record is from RNAcentral.
AGGCAAUACCGCGAGGUGGAGCAAAUCCCUAAAAGCCAUCCCAGUUCGGAUCGCAGGCUGCAACCCGCCUGCGUGAAGUUGGAAUCGCUAGUAAUCGCGGAUCAGCAUGCCGCGGUGAAUACGUUCCCGGGCCUUGUACACACCGCCCGUCACACCAUGAGAGUCGGGAACACCCGAAGUCCGUAGCCUAACUGCAAAGGGGGCGCGGCCGAAGGUGGGUUCGAUAAUUGGGGUGAAGUCGUAACAAGGUAUC